RNAcentral lists this ribosomal RNA (425 nucleotides) under uncultured bacterium. RNAcentral describes it as "partial 16S ribosomal RNA". It matches the Rfam family "Bacterial small subunit ribosomal RNA", at positions 354 to 796 of the family's 1533-position model. The record is from RNAcentral.
GUAGGGAAUCUUGCGCAAUGGGCGAAAGCCUGACGCAGCCAUGCCGCGUGAAUGAUGAAGGUCUUAGGAUUGUAAAAUUCUUUCACCGGGGACGAUAAUGACGGUACCCGGAGAAGAAGCCCCGGCUAACUUCGUGCCAGCAGCCGCGGUAAUACGAAGGGGGCUAGCGUUGCUCGGAAUUACUGGGCGUAAAGGGAGCGUAGGCGGAUAGUUUAGUCAGAGGUGAAAGCACAGGGCUCAACCUUGGAAUUGCCUUUGAGACUGGCUAUCUUGAGUAUGGAAGAGGUAUGUGGAACUCCGAGUGUAGAGGUGAAAUUCGUAGAUAUUCGGAAGAACACCAGUGGCGAAGGCGACAUACUGGUCCAUUACUGACGCUGAGGCUCGAAAGCGUGGGGAGCAAACAGGAUUAGAAACCCCGGUAGUCC